AGAAUGGAAUACUGACAGGAAGAUCGACCGUCACAGAACACACGAUCAUGCAGGUCACAUGCACACUUCACAAGAUCUCAAC
Long non-coding RNA from Sinocyclocheilus anshuiensis, 82 nucleotides. RefSeq lists it as uncharacterized. Lineage: Eukaryota; Metazoa; Chordata; Actinopteri; Cypriniformes; Cyprinidae. The record is from RefSeq and is a predicted model, not a curated record. The transcript has 3 exons.